CAGGAAUCAUUCUCCAAUUAGAUCGUUUUCUAUAUCAAAAAUGAGUCUAAAUGUGAGACAAAAACUCCAGCGCAAAACUUUUUUGGUUGGAAAAUGAUUUAUGAUCAUAUCUUGACUAAAUUUGAUCCCUUUGACACCUUCCUUCAUUCAGUUGGCUUCUAGAACUCUCAGACCUUCAUUUCAAGUUUCGACACGACUUUUGAUUA
This 206-nucleotide long non-coding RNA is filed under the name Olea europaea (common olive). Its description in RNAcentral is "long non-coding RNA (OEUR_LNC000112)". Lineage: Eukaryota; Viridiplantae; Streptophyta; Magnoliopsida; Lamiales; Oleaceae. The record is from RNAcentral.